RNAcentral lists this ribosomal RNA (350 nucleotides) under uncultured bacterium. Its description in RNAcentral is "bacterial SSU rRNA". It matches the Rfam family "Bacterial small subunit ribosomal RNA", at positions 28 to 369 of the family's 1533-position model. The record is from RNAcentral.
GAUGAACGCUAGCGGCAGGCCUAAUACAUGCAAGUCGGACGGGAUUCAGGGAGUAGCUUGCUACGAACUGAUGAGAGUGGCGCACGGGUGCGUAACGCGUGAGCAACCUACCCAUAUCAGGGGGAUAGCCUCUCGAAAAGAGAGAUUAACACCGCAUAACAUCAUUUACCGGCAUCGGUUUGUGAUCAAAAUAUUUAUAGGAUAUGGAUGGGCUCGCGUGACAUUAGCUAGUUGGAGAGGUAACGGCUNACCAAGGCUACGAUCAAUAGCUGAUGUGAGAGCAUGAUCAGCCACACGGGCACUGAGACAGGGCCCGAUCCUACGGGAGCAGCAGUAAGGAAUAAUUGGGC